Molecule: ribosomal RNA, 207 nt
Filed under: uncultured bacterium
Lineage: Bacteria
Description: partial 16S ribosomal RNA
Rfam family: Bacterial small subunit ribosomal RNA
Source: RNAcentral
CACGUAGGUGGGUCGCUUAGUCGGGGGUGAAAUCCUGGAGCUCAACUCCAGAACUGCCUUCGAUACUGGCGAUCUUCGAGUCCGGGAGAGGUGGGUGGAACUGCGAGUGUAGAGGUGAAAUUCGUAGAUAUUCGCAAGAACACCAGUGGCGAAGGCGGCUCACUGGCCCGGUACUGACACUGAGGUGCGAAAGCGUGGGAGCAAACA